UUGAAUUGAAGAGUUUGAUCAUGGCUCAGAUUGAACGCUGGCGGCAGGCUUAACACAUGCAAGUCGAACGGUAACGGGAAGGGAGCUUGCUUUCUUUGCCGACGAGUGGCGGACGGGUGAGUAAUGCUUGGGAAUCUGGCUUAUGGAGGGGGAUAACUACGGGAAACUGUA
This 171-nucleotide ribosomal RNA is filed under the name Xanthomonas citri pv. citri. RNAcentral's name for it is "partial 16S ribosomal RNA". It matches the Rfam family "Bacterial small subunit ribosomal RNA", at positions 1 to 161 of the family's 1533-position model. Lineage: Bacteria; Pseudomonadati; Pseudomonadota; Gammaproteobacteria; Lysobacterales; Lysobacteraceae. The record is from RNAcentral.